This 75-nucleotide transfer RNA is filed under the name Thermoproteota archaeon. RNAcentral's name for it is "tRNA-Arg". It matches the Rfam family "tRNA". From Rfam's summary of the family: Transfer RNA (tRNA) molecules are approximately 80 nucleotides in length. Their secondary structure includes four short double-helical elements and three loops (D, anti-codon, and T loops). Further hydrogen bonds mediate the characteristic L-shaped molecular structure. tRNAs have two regions of fundamental functional importance: the anti-codon, which is responsible for specific mRNA codon recognition, and the 3' end, to which the tRNAs corresponding amino acid is attached (by aminoacyl-tRNA synthetases). tRNAs cope with the degeneracy of the genetic code in two manners: having more than one tRNA (with a specific anti-codon) for a particular amino acid; and 'wobble' base-pairing, i.e. permitting non-standard base-pairing at the 3rd anti-codon position. The record is from RNAcentral. Lineage: Archaea; Thermoproteati; Thermoproteota.
GGGGGUAUAGUUCAAUGGAAAGAAUAUGGGAUUUCUAACCCCACGAUCUAGGUUCGAUUCCUAGUACCCCUACCA